This 69-nucleotide transfer RNA is filed under the name Rhina ancylostomus. RNAcentral describes it as "tRNA-Glu". It matches the Rfam family "tRNA". Rfam says of the family: Transfer RNA (tRNA) molecules are approximately 80 nucleotides in length. Their secondary structure includes four short double-helical elements and three loops (D, anti-codon, and T loops). Further hydrogen bonds mediate the characteristic L-shaped molecular structure. tRNAs have two regions of fundamental functional importance: the anti-codon, which is responsible for specific mRNA codon recognition, and the 3' end, to which the tRNAs corresponding amino acid is attached (by aminoacyl-tRNA synthetases). tRNAs cope with the degeneracy of the genetic code in two manners: having more than one tRNA (with a specific anti-codon) for a particular amino acid; and 'wobble' base-pairing, i.e. permitting non-standard base-pairing at the 3rd anti-codon position. The record is from RNAcentral. Lineage: Eukaryota; Metazoa; Chordata; Chondrichthyes; Rhinopristiformes; Rhinidae.
GUUCCUGUAGUUGAAUAACAACGAUAAUUUUUCAGGUUAUUAGUCUUAGUUAAAAUCUAAGUGGGGGUA